RNAcentral lists this ribosomal RNA (2027 nucleotides) under human gut metagenome. Its description in RNAcentral is "bacterial LSU rRNA". It matches the Rfam family "Bacterial large subunit ribosomal RNA", at positions 835 to 2888 of the family's 2925-position model. The record is from RNAcentral.
GAACCCGGAGAUAGCUGGUUCUCCUCGAAAUAGCUUUAGGGCUAGCCUCAUGGAUCAUUGGUGGGGGUAGAGCACUGAAUGUGCGCGGGGGCCACAAAGCCUACCAAACGCUAUCAAACUUCGAAUACCAUACAAUGCAGACCAUGGGAGUCAGUCCGCGAGAGAUAAGUUCCGCGGGCAAAAGGGGAACACCCCAGAUCAACCGCUAAGGUCCCCAAGUUCACGUUAAGUGGAGAAGGAUGUGGAAUUGCACAGACAACCAGGAUGUUGGCUCAGAAGCAGCCACACAUUUAAAGAGUGCGUAAUAGCUCACUGGUCGAGUGAUUGUGCGCCGAAGAUGUCCGGGGCUAAACGUGACACCGAAGCGAUGGGUGCGUCUGAAGAAGAUGCGCGGUAGAGGAGCAAUGUGCAGAGGCAGAAGCCGUAUCGAGAGGCACGGUGGACACUGCACAAGAGAGAAUGCCGGUAUGAGUAGCGAGAGGCAUGCGAGAAACAUGCCCGUCGAAAGCCCAAGGUUUCCUGGGGAAGGUUCAUCCGCCCAGGGUAAGUCGGGGCCUAAGCCGAGGACGGAAGUCGUAGGCGAUGGACAGCAGGUGUAGAUUCCUGCACUACCGAUGGAAUGAAGCAGUGACACAGAAGGAUAACUCGAGCAGGGUGAUGGUCAACCCUGUGCAAGCAUCGAGGUUGGGUUGUAGUGAAGUACGCAACCCUAUAAGCUGAGGUGUGAUGCGGACCGAAAUUUCAGUAGGGAAGCGAGUGAGUUCACGCUGGCGAGAAAAGCUGCUAGUACAUCCAAAGGUACCCGUACCGGAAACCGACGCAGGUGGGCGAGGAGAGAAUCCUGAGACGAACGGGAGAACCCUUGUUAAGGAACUCGGCAAAAUGACCCCGUAACUUCGGGAUAAGGGGUGCCUGCGAGAGCAGGCCGCAGAGAAUAGUCACAAGCGACUGUUUAGCAAAAACACAGGUAUCUGCGAAAGCGAGAGCUGACGUAUAGGUGCUGACACCUGCCCGGUGCUGGAAGGUUAAGGGAACAUGUUAGAGCAAUCGAAGCAUCGAACCGAAGCCCCAGUAAACGGCGGCCGUAACUAUAACGGUCCUAAGGUAGCGAAAUUCCUUGUCGGGUAAGUUCCGACCCGCACGAAUGGUGUAACGACUUGUGAGCUGUCUCAACAGGGGGCCCGGUGAAAUUGAAGUAUGGGUGAAGAUGCCCAUUACCCGCGACUGGACGGAAAGACCCCGUAGAGCUUUACUGCAGCCUGAUAUUGAGUUUCGGUAAUUGAUGCACAGGAUAGGUGGGAGUCUGAGAGACAUGGGUUUCGGCUCGUGUGGAGACGAUGUUGGGAUACCACUCUUCGGUUACUGAAAUUCUAACAUAGCUCUGUGAAACCAGAGGAUGGACAGUGUCAGGUGGACAGUUUGACUGGGGCGGUCGCCUCCGAAAGAGUAACGGAGGCGCCCAAAGGUACCCUCAGAAUGGAUGGAAACCAUUCGAAGAGCGCAAAGGCAGAAGGGUGCCUGACUGCGAGAGUGACAACUCGAGCAGAGACGAAAGUCGGGCUUAGUGAUCCGGCGGUAUUGAGUGGAAAAGCCGUCGCUUAACGGAUAAAAGCUACCUCGGGGAUAACAGGCUGAUCUCCCCCAAGAGUCCACAUCGACGGGGAGGUUUGGCACCUCGAUGUCGGCUCAUCGCAUCCUGGGGCUGAAUUCGGUCCCAAGGGUUUGGCUGUUCGCCAAUUAAAGCGGCACGCGAGCUGGGUUCAGAACGUCGUGAGACAGUUCGGUCCCUAUCCAUCGUGGGCGUAGGAGUCAUGAGAGGAGCUGUUCCUAGUACGAGAGGACCGGAAUGGACGCACCACUGGUGCAACUGUUGUCGUGCCAACGGCAUAGCAGGGAAGCGAAGUGCGGAUGGGAUAAACGCUGAAGGCAUCUAAGCGUGAAGCCCACCUCAAGAAUAAGACUCCACAAUAGACCCCUGGAGGACUACCAGGUAGAUAGGUCAUCGGUGGAAGCGCUGUAAGGCGUGU